RNAcentral lists this small nuclear RNA (325 nucleotides) under Echinops telfairi (small Madagascar hedgehog). RNAcentral's name for it is "7SK RNA (ENSETEG00000024529.1)". It matches the Rfam family "7SK RNA". From Rfam's summary of the family: 7SK was discovered as an abundant small nuclear RNA in the mid-70s but a possible function has only recently been suggested. Two independent studies have found that 7SK RNA binds the CDK9/cyclin T complex (known as elongation factor P-TEFb). Lineage: Eukaryota; Metazoa; Chordata; Mammalia; Afrosoricida; Tenrecidae. The record is from RNAcentral.
AGAUGUGAGGGUGAUCUGGCUGCAGCAUCUGUCACCCCAUUGAUCACCAGGGUUGAUUCUGCUGACAUGGCUGACUAGGCAGGUGUCCCCUUUCUCCCUUACCACUCCAUGUGCGUCCCUCCCGAAGCUGCACCCUCGGUUGAAGAGGGCAGCCUUCCCUGAUAGAAGGAGGACCAUCCUUUGAUCAAGGCUGUACGAGUAGCUGUGCUCCCCUGCUAGAACCCCCAAACAAGUCUCAAAGAUUUCCUGGGUGGUUGUGUUAGUCUGGGUUGACUAGAGAAACAAAUUUCAUAGACACUCAUAUGUGUAAUGGAGAACUUUAUAU